UUGACCUCGGAUCAGGUAGGGAUACCCGCUGAACUUAAGCAUAUCAAUAAGCGGAGGAAAAGAAACCAACAGGGAUUGCUCUAGUAACGGCGAGUGAAGCAGCAAUAGCUCAAAUUUGAAAUCUGGCGUCUUCGGCGUCCGAGUUGUAAUUUGUAGAGGAUGCUUCUGGGCAGCCACCGACCUAAGUUCCUUGGAACAGGACGUCAUAGAGGGUGAGAAUCCCGUAUGCGGUCGGAAAGGCACCCUACACGUAGCUCCUUCGACGAGUCGAGUUGUUUGGGAAUGCAGCUCUAAAUGGGAGGUAAAUUUCUUCUAAAGCUAAAUAUUGGCCAGAGACCGAUAGCGCACAAGUAGAGUGAUCGAAAGAUGAAAAGCACUUUGGAAAGAGAGUUAAAAAGCACGUGAAAUUGUUGAAAGGGAAGGGAUUGCAACCAGACUUGCUCGCGGUGUUCCGCCGGUCUUCUGACCGGUCUACUCGCCGCGUUGCAGGCCAGCAUCGUCUGGUGCCGCUGGAUAAGACUUGAGGAAUGUAGCUCCCUCGGGAGUGUUAUAGCCUCUUGUGAUGCAGCGAGCGCCGGGCGAGGUCCGCGCUUCGGCUAGGAUGCUG
Molecule: ribosomal RNA, 607 nt
Filed under: Cladosporium sphaerospermum
Lineage: Eukaryota; Fungi; Ascomycota; Dothideomycetes; Cladosporiales; Cladosporiaceae
Description: eukaryotic LSU rRNA
Rfam family: Eukaryotic large subunit ribosomal RNA
Source: RNAcentral